AGCGAACGCUGGCGGCAGGCCUAACACAUGCAAGUCGAACGAACUCUUCGGAGUUAGUGGCGGACGGGUGAGUAACACGUGGGAACGUGCCUUUAGGUUCGGAAUAACUCAGGGAAACUUGUGCUAAUACCGAGUGUGCCCUUCGGGGGAAAGAUUUAUCGCCUUUAGAGCGGCCCGCGUCUGAUUAGCUAGUUGGUGAGGUAAAGGCUCACCAAGGCGACGAUCAGUAGCUGGUCUGAGAGGAUGAUCAGCCACAUUGGGACUGAGACACGGCCCAAACUACUACGGGAGGCAGCAGUGGGGAAUCUUGCGCAAUGGGCGAAAGCCUGACGCAGCCAUGCCGCGUGAAUGAUGAAGGUCUUAGGAUUGUAAAAUUCUUUCACCGGGGACGAUAAUGACGGUACCCGGAGAAGAAGCCCCGGCUAACUUCGUGCCAGCAGCCGCAGUAA
Molecule: ribosomal RNA, 449 nt
Filed under: uncultured bacterium
Lineage: Bacteria
Description: partial 16S ribosomal RNA
Rfam family: Bacterial small subunit ribosomal RNA
Source: RNAcentral